RNAcentral lists this transfer RNA (88 nucleotides) under Acidobacteriota bacterium. RNAcentral describes it as "tRNA-Ser". It matches the Rfam family "tRNA". From Rfam's summary of the family: Transfer RNA (tRNA) molecules are approximately 80 nucleotides in length. Their secondary structure includes four short double-helical elements and three loops (D, anti-codon, and T loops). Further hydrogen bonds mediate the characteristic L-shaped molecular structure. tRNAs have two regions of fundamental functional importance: the anti-codon, which is responsible for specific mRNA codon recognition, and the 3' end, to which the tRNAs corresponding amino acid is attached (by aminoacyl-tRNA synthetases). tRNAs cope with the degeneracy of the genetic code in two manners: having more than one tRNA (with a specific anti-codon) for a particular amino acid; and 'wobble' base-pairing, i.e. permitting non-standard base-pairing at the 3rd anti-codon position. Lineage: Bacteria; Pseudomonadati; Acidobacteriota. The record is from RNAcentral. RNAcentral also lists the same sequence under 2 other names.
GGAGGGAUGGCAGAGCGGCCGAAUGCGAAGCUCUUGAAAAGCUUUGAGAUUGCAUAGAUCUCCGUGGGUUCAAAUCCCACUCCCUCCG